Molecule: ribosomal RNA, 327 nt
Filed under: uncultured eukaryote
Lineage: Eukaryota
Description: partial 18S ribosomal RNA
Rfam family: Eukaryotic small subunit ribosomal RNA
Source: RNAcentral
CCCUUAGAUGUUCUGGGCCGCACACGCGCUACACUGAAGGAGGCAGCGUGUACUCCUGGAUCGAAAGAUUUGGGUAACCCGCGAAUCUCCUUCGUGCUAGGGAUUGAGGUUUGCAAUUAUCCUUCAUGAACGAGGAAUUCCCAGUAAGUGCAAGUCAUAAGCUUGCGCCGACUACGUCCCUGCCCUUUGUACACACCGCCCGUCGCUACUACCGAUUGAAUGAUUUAGUGAGGACUUCGGACUGGGACCGAUGCGGCUUUCGGGCUGCGUCGGUAUUCUGGAAAGAUGCCCAAACUGUAUCAUUUAGAGGAAGUAAAAGUCGUAACA